UACGGGGGGGGUAAGCGUUGUUCGGAAUUACUGGGCGUAAAGGGUUCGUAGGUGGCUCGCUAAGUCAGACGUGAAAUCCCUCGGCUCAACCGGGGAACUGCGUCUGAGACUGGAGAGCUUGAGUGCAGGAGAGGAACGCGGAAUUCCAGGUGUAGCGGUGAAAUGCGUAGAUAUCUGGAGGAACACCGGUGGCGAAGGCGGGUCUCUGGGCCGAUACUGACGCUGAGGAGCGAAAGCGUGGGGAGCGAACAGG
This 253-nucleotide ribosomal RNA is filed under the name uncultured bacterium. RNAcentral describes it as "partial 16S ribosomal RNA". It matches the Rfam family "Bacterial small subunit ribosomal RNA", at positions 524 to 776 of the family's 1533-position model. The record is from RNAcentral.